Molecule: unclassified non-coding RNA, 309 nt
Filed under: plant metagenome
Description: partial contains 5.8S ribosomal RNA, internal transcribed spacer 2, and large subunit ribosomal RNA
Rfam family: 5.8S ribosomal RNA (bases 1-104)
Source: RNAcentral
AAAUGUGAUAAGUAGUGUGAAUUGCAGAAUUCAGUGAAUCAUCGAAUCUUUGAACGCACAUUGCGCCCCUUGGUAUUCCAUGGGGCAUGCCUGUUCGAGCGUCAUUUGUACCCUCAAGCUCUGCUUGGUGUUGGGUGUUUGUCCCCGUCUCCGCGCGUGGACUCGCCCCAAAGUGAUUGGCAGCCGGCGUACUGGUCCCGGAGCGCAGCACAUGUCGCGCAAACGAGUGCCUUGGUACGGCGGCGUCCAUAAGCCCCUCUCUCACGCUCUUGACCUCGGAUCAGGUAGGGAUACCCGCUGAACUUAAGC